Molecule: RNA transcript, 1695 nt
Organism: Pongo pygmaeus (Bornean orangutan)
Lineage: Eukaryota; Metazoa; Chordata; Mammalia; Primates; Hominidae
Exons: 4
Source: RefSeq, a predicted model, not a curated record
ACUCACGGGCUCCGCGGGAGGGAAAGCCGGACCAGGCGGCUCACCCGGGGCGGAGCUUCGCGGCCAGAGCGCGGCCGAGGCGAGGGGGUGCCGGACGCCAACGAGAAGGCCGCGUCCCGUCGCACCCCGCCCAUCCCUGGUGCUGGCAAGGAACGAGGCAGGGCAGGAAAGCAGGAAGAAGUCCUCACACAGGUCCCAAAGCAACAAGUGCUCGCGGCGGCUCCUCAUCAGACCGCUGGGUUGGGGCUGCAAAACGAGGCCCGGCACGGCAGCCUCCCGGCCUUCCCUCUCUCAACCCCUACCCCACCGCACUCACUCUGCCACACGACGCUCUUUAGCCCCCUCUCUGCCACCGGCGGCGCCAUCUUCCCGACACUGCGGAGCAGCAGCCACCACCUUCCACUCCCAACCUACUUUGGCCGCAAAAGCGGCGUUGGGGUGGCCCCGCCCCUUGCUGCAGGGGAAUGCCCCACCCCCUCUAGCAGACCUCGCCCUCCGGUGUCGUCACGCGCGUCAGCAAGGGAAUUUCCGCCCACUCCCGGACGGAGGCUGCGCAGUACAGGUGGAACCUCCGUGGGAAGUCGGGCGCCCCCUCGCGGGAGGCUGCUGUCGCCCGAGGUUCGACGUCCUGUGGCCUAGGAACGCGAAGUGCCAAACCGAUCGUGAGCCAAGGCCGUCUAUGAAAUUCCGAGUUCACACAUACACGAAGACUGGAGGAUCCUCCCCUUUACAGAAGAACUCUUCACUUCGCAGGGCGAUUCAUAAUAGACUUCACUCAGUAGCCAGCCCAGCUACCCAAUGGAAAAUGUACUGUCCCCAAAUGUUUAUUUCAUUCAUUUUUUCAAGGACACAGUAAUUGCGUAGAACUGUGAGGUACCCUCCAGUGUGCCAAGAACUGUGCUGGACUUUUAGGAAGCUCAAAGAAAUGAGAGAUCGACUCUUUCCCCUGAAGAAUUUGUAAUCUAAUUAAAGAGCACAAUUCCUGGAAUGCUGCAGGGUUCUCACAGUGUGCCAACUCAGGCUAGCAGCCGUCCAGGGGAUUUUCUGGAUUCAUUUCUCUCCAGAGUCCUCACAUAGCAGAUCUCCAACUGCUGUGCAGCAACUAUCAUCAUUUUACAAUUGAGGAAACUGAGGCUUAUAGAGAGUAUUCAGAAACAUUGUCAGUGAACGUCUCCUUUACAGCAGUCACUGCUGCAAGCCAGUCUCACUCUUGUUUACAUACCAGUUUUCAAGGUCACUGCUGAAGAUGAUUUGCUAGAUCCAGCAUCAUUACUUGCUAAAACUGAAAUCGAGUAUUCAGUUCCACACUGGAGGGAAGAGAUGGUGCAGGAACUGAAAGUUGUACUGCAGGUCAGCUCUGAAGAGUCACUCAAAGCCAUCACAGUAUAAUUGAAAGCUCCUUCUGCCAGUGCCCAUGAAAAAGAUGCCUUCAGAGCUCCACUAUCGAAAGAGACUUGAAUGUUGGCAGGGGCCCGAGGACCUACAUUUUUGAGAAACAAUUAAGAUUUUGUAGUAGCCUUACAAACUAAGUAAGAGUUGGCAUAACAAUGUUUCAGAGCCUGGAGGAUAAGGUACCCAAUAGUUGGAUAAUUACAAGUGUUCAAAGCAUAAAAUUGGGAUUUAGGAUGAUGCCUGGGAACUGGUAAUUCAUCUGCUAUUAUGCAAACUCAUAAUAAACUGUGUGAUCUUGACCCC